This is a small nuclear RNA of Cercocebus atys (sooty mangabey), 107 nucleotides long. The record is from Ensembl. Lineage: Eukaryota; Metazoa; Chordata; Mammalia; Primates; Cercopithecidae.
UUGCUUCAUUCAGCAGCAUAUAUUCUAAAAGUGGACCAAUGCAGAAAAGAUUAGCAUUGCCACUGUGUAAGGAUGACAUGCAAAUUGGUGAAGCAUUCCAUAUUAUA